Molecule: long non-coding RNA, 358 nt
Filed under: Gallus gallus (chicken)
Lineage: Eukaryota; Metazoa; Chordata; Aves; Galliformes; Phasianidae
Source: RNAcentral
CUCGUUUAUUCAUUAGGUGCCGACCACCAAAUAUGAAGGCAGCGUACAGUGCUGAAAAUAGAAAAGAUUUCUUCCAGUUCUCCUGCAUCCACUGGAUGGCCUCAUGCUCGUUGAACUGCUUCUCGAAUUCGUAUUCCUGCAAAGUCAACACGGACAUGUUCAUUGGCCCGGUGGCUGCGGAGCCGCUCCCCGCGCCGAAAUGCCGCCUGCCGCCUCGGGAGCCGGAGAGCUCCCGCCUCCGGCCUGGCCGCCCCGCCUCAGCGGUACCCCAGGUUUAGCAUAGCUCCGCUCCCCUCCGCGCCUCUCCUCCCGGGCCCGCCGGUCUCCUCCUCUUCUGCAGCCGCCGCGCCGCGCAGCG